AACGAACGCUGGCGGCAUGCCUAACACAUGCCAGUCGAACGAUCCCUUCGGGGUUAGUGGCGCACGGGUGCGUAACGCGUGGGAACCUACCCUUAGGUUCGGAAUAACUCAGAGAAAUUUGAGCUCAUACCGGAUAAUGUCUUCGGACCAAAGAUUUAUCGCCUUUGGAUGGGCCCGCGUUGGAUUAGCUAGUUGGUGGGGUAAAGGCCUACCAAGGCGACGAUGCAUAGCUGGUCUGAGAGGAUGAUCAGCCACACUGGGACUGAGACACGGCCCAGACUCCUACGGGAGGGAGCAGUGGGGAAUAUUGGACAAUGGGCGAAAGCCUGAUCCAGCAAUGCCGCGUGAGUGAUGAAGGCCGUAGGGUUGUAAAGCUCUUUUACCCGGGAUGAUAAUGACAGUACCGGGAGAAUAAGCCCCGGCUAACUACGUG
RNAcentral lists this ribosomal RNA (433 nucleotides) under uncultured bacterium. RNAcentral describes it as "partial 16S ribosomal RNA". It matches the Rfam family "Bacterial small subunit ribosomal RNA", at positions 29 to 507 of the family's 1533-position model. The record is from RNAcentral.